ACGGAGGGUGCAAGCGUUAAUCGGAAUUACUGGGCGUAAAGCGCACGUAGGCUGUAGUGUAAGUCAGGGGUGAAAUCCCACGGCUCAACCGUGGAACUGCCUUUGAUACUGCACAACUUGAAUCCGGGAGAGGGUGGCGGAAUUCCAGGUGUAGGAGUGAAAUCCGUAGAUAUGCGGAGGAACACCGAUGGCGAAGGCAACCACCUGGACCGGUACUGACGCUCAUGCGCGAAAGCGUGGGGAGCAAACAG
Molecule: ribosomal RNA, 251 nt
Filed under: uncultured prokaryote
Description: partial 16S rRNA
Rfam family: Bacterial small subunit ribosomal RNA
Source: RNAcentral